Carya illinoinensis is the source of this 146-nucleotide small nucleolar RNA. RefSeq annotates it as small nucleolar RNA snoR74. The record is from RefSeq and is a predicted model, not a curated record. Lineage: Eukaryota; Viridiplantae; Streptophyta; Magnoliopsida; Fagales; Juglandaceae. The transcript has a single exon.
GAUUACGAAAGGUUUUAGAUGCCAACAUGAAUCACCUCCAGUAUGGAUGGGCCUCUUGUAAACGUCAGGGAUAUCAUUCUCAUUGUUAGUGGGUGAACCUCUGUUGGUUGUUUGUGACUGAAGGUUCAGUAAAUGAUGGAACAUUU